Molecule: long non-coding RNA, 608 nt
Filed under: Equus caballus (horse)
Lineage: Eukaryota; Metazoa; Chordata; Mammalia; Perissodactyla; Equidae
Description: lncRNA (ENSECAG00000059336.1)
Source: RNAcentral
GGCUUCGGCUGUGACUAGACAUGGAGUAGACUGAGCAAUAUACAAAUACAAUCUGAUUUCACAAAAUUUGCAAAUGAAAUGAAAGGACAACAACUAUGAUACAUGAUACAUGAACUCACUAUUGUGAAAGAGUAAUAAAAUUGGGAACGCGAGUGGAAGUCAGCAAGGGUAAACAUCUGACCCAACAGUUCAUUCAGGGUUGUAAACAGAAAGGACUUCACAGCUCAGACGGGAUAGAAGAAGGAACUUGAAGGGAUUGUAGAGGGCAGAAGAGGCAGAGGCAAGCUCCAUCUUGUCCCUAAAGAUUCCACUGGCCCUAUUGUGGUUGUUGAAGAACGGUCACGGGAGUUCAUCAGCACUCGUGUCCAAGGGAGCCUAGAUCCUUUCUGAGAAGCAAGGAUAGCAUGUAUUCAGCACACGUGUAUUGAUUGGUUACUGUGUGCAAAGCACAGCGGGCAUCCAGACAAAUGGCAACCUGUGUGUGUGUAUGGUGGGUGUGCGGUGAACUCUAGCAGGGACACAGAAAGCUUGAGUCCCCAAGUGAGACUAUCUAUCACUCAGUAGGUUUCUGGAGGGUAGCCCCAUGCCAAAGAUUUGAGUAAACCCAG